CUCUGAUGGCGAGUGGCGAACGGGUGAGUAAUACAUCGGAACGUGUCCGUUUGUGGGGGACAACCGUCCGAAAGGAUGGCUAAUACCGCAUAAGACCUGAGGGUGAAAGCCGGGGACCGCAAGGCCCGGCGCAGACGGAGCGGCCGAUGAUUGAUUAGCUAGUUGGGGAGGUAAAGGCUCACCAAGGCGACGAUCAAUAGCUGGUCUGAGAGGACGACCAGCCACACUGGAACUGAGACACGGUCCAGACUCCUACGGGAGGCAGCAGUGGGGAAUUUUGGACAAUGGGGGCAACCCUGAUCCAGCCAUGCCGCGUGCGGGAAGAAGGCCUUCGGGUUGUAAACCGCUUUUGUCAGGGACGAAAAGCUCCGGAGUAAUAUGCCGGAGUGCUGACGGUACCUGAAGAAUAAGCACCGGCUGACUACGUGCCAGCAGCCGCGGUAAUACGUAGGGUGCAAGCGUUAAUCGGAAUUACUGGGCGUAAAGCGUGCGCGGGCGGUUGGGUAAGACAGAUGUGAAAUCCCCGGGCUUAACCUGGGAACUGCAUUUGUGACUGUCCGACUGGAGUACGUCAGAGGGGGGUGGAAUUCCACGUGUAGCAGUGAAAUGCGUAGAUAUGUGGAAGAACACCGAUGGCGAAGGC
Molecule: ribosomal RNA, 643 nt
Filed under: uncultured beta proteobacterium
Lineage: Bacteria; Pseudomonadati; Pseudomonadota; Betaproteobacteria
Description: bacterial SSU rRNA
Rfam family: Bacterial small subunit ribosomal RNA
Source: RNAcentral